UAUAUGCGUUUGUGUGUGGGUUUGUACCCCUGAUUGCAGGUACACACGGCAUCCAUUAGAGGGUGAUAGACUCCCUAUAGCUGGAGUUCUAGAUGCUUGCAGACUGCCUAGUAUGGGUUCUCUGCAUGACCAAUACCUGUACUUCCCUGCUGGGCCGCCUUUCCAGCCCCGCGAGUUCAAUGAUAUUAAACUCCAUGACAGUAGCUGCUUUUUGUUUGGUCCCUCAAGCUGGCCUCUGCUGACACGGCCUGUUUACAGACGCUCUUGUAUAAGAACGAUAGAGCUGUUAAAGCUCACAGUCCUCCUGGUUAACUGCAGUUAAGCCUAACAUGUAAAGCUUUGGAUUUAACCAGAGCCACCUCUUUAAGAUCUAACCAAAGAAGGAAAUACAAUUGAUUUCUUUCCCCUUAGAAGAAAUGACAUGAAUUGUUAAAAUUCUGGUCAUGAAACUUAAUGAAUGAGAGUUGUGGGUCCAUGCCUGUAUCUCAGUAUUCAGAAGGCAGAGGCAGGGACAUUGUUAUUUUGCAGCCAACCUGUAGUUUGUAAUGAGUUAAAGGUCAACUUGAGCUGCCUACUAGUAGACCUUGUCUCAAAAAAGAAAAAAAAAAAU
This 610-nucleotide long non-coding RNA is filed under the name Rattus norvegicus (Norway rat). Its description in RNAcentral is "long non-coding RNA NONRATT026794". Lineage: Eukaryota; Metazoa; Chordata; Mammalia; Rodentia; Muridae. The record is from RNAcentral.